This is a long non-coding RNA of Panicum virgatum (switchgrass), 2082 nucleotides long. RefSeq lists it as uncharacterized. The transcript is spliced from 2 exons. The record is from RefSeq and is a predicted model, not a curated record. Lineage: Eukaryota; Viridiplantae; Streptophyta; Magnoliopsida; Poales; Poaceae.
CCAUCCCUGGCCACCACGCCGUCCGCGCCGCCGCUACUCCACGGGCAGGCAGAUUCACGAGGUGCUCAGGGCCACCUCGCAACCAGCCCUCUUCAGCUUCUCCGAGCUCCUCACCCUGUCCACCUGCUCCAAGGUACGCCCGCCUUCGGCCUCCUCAUCUGCUGUAUCCCCUGGCGCUCGCCGCAAAAAGGGCCAGACGAGCCGCCGCAGGUGCCCUCUCCCGCCGCGCGACCGCAUGAAUCCCGCUGCCCCCGCCACCAAGUGCAGAUCGACCAAUCUCAUUCCCCCUAUCAGGUUUGGAUAGGUAAACUCGUUGUCUUCCCCUUCCUGCAACUGCGGAUGGAUCAAACUGAUCCAAAAAAUGCAGAUUCAAUGUGUUUUUGUGUUCAUGCAGAAAGUUCUUGAUUUCAGGAGGAGUUUUGCAUGCAUUUGUAACUGUCGAAGGAGUAAGAAGAAAUACAUACAUUCAGUAUUUUUUUCAAAAAAAAAAAAAGUCAUUCAGUUGCAUGUCUAACUCUGUUUCAGUUUAUAUUAUUUGCUAGAUAUGCGGCUUGAGGCCAUUUUAGUUCUCUGGCUACGUUGUCUUAAACAUAGGAUUGUACUUUCUGCUUCCAUGCUUAAUGUUGCCAUGAGGAUCAAUUUCUACUCCCUCCUGAAGUUAACCUAACAUUACUGCCAAUCUGAUGAUGGAUCAACUCACACCUUGUUCCUAUCUAUUUUUCAGGUGCCGCUAGACAGUAGUCGUCCUUCAAUGGCGUGUCCCAGCAGUGCCGGCGGUCUUCGCGGCCGCGGCCGUUCGGCACACCCCGGUCGUCACCGGUGCAGGUGGUGAUGAUGGUGCUUUCUUCUAGCAAAUAGUUUCCAAAUACAUAGGGGAAGCACGGUGAAAGCUUUUAUUUCUAGCAAGCUCCAGCAUCAAUCCGAACACUCCCAUAGGCUGUAUUGGACCUUGAUCUUUGUAUGAGCUGCACUUCAUUACUUUAGAUGCCAAUAAUUUAGUAGAAAACAAAGAUAAGAACCUAAAAUAUUGAGUCCUGGUUUGGAUCUGUCCAAGUACGAAGCGAUCAUCAUAAACACAACUGCUUAAGAGGACUGUCUUAUGUGAUCCUGCAGUAGAAUAGAGGGUAGGCCGCAAUCUAAAUUUAUUUUGACUGAAGAAAUAGUAAUCACACAAAUCAACUUAAGAGGACUGUCUCUUAAUUUUGUUUUUGUCGGUGCUCUUGAACAGGUGCCCAGGGAGAUGGGGAGAUGGCAAGGACAGAGGUGCAUUUGUUGUUCUUGCCUUGGUGGUUUUGGCUUGUGCACUGGGAACCAGAGCUGAUGGCUCUGACCAUAAGUACAAGGAAGGGGAUCAUGUCCUUCUGUACGCGAACAAAGUUGGUCCUUUUCACAAUUCAAGUGAGACAUAUGUGUACUAUGAUCUGCCCUUUUGAGCACCAGGUAUGUGUUGUUUCUUUCUUGUCAACAGCUGGCAUGUAAUAGAACAUCCGAAGGACAAAAAGGAAGCUCUUGGAUGUUCAAGGUUUUGUUCAUGGCCCGGCGAUGGCUAGCUGUAAGUGCUGCACAACAUGAUGAAAAGCGACAACGACGAUGAUGAAGAUCCAAAUGAGGGUGAGAUAGAUGAGGAGAAGGAACAAGCAAUGGCCCUGCUGAACAAGGAGAAGCCUUCCCUUCAUUACCGCUGGACCAUUCGAUCUGGAGUUGUUUCUUUUGCAGCGGCAAGAAGAUCAACAAGUGGAACAUCAGCCAGCUUCUAAUAUAAGCCAUGCUGAAGGGUAUGCUCGUUCUGUGAAUCGCCCUUUCAGGGUGAGGGGGAGUCACCGUGCGCUUGUGGAGGGAGUACAUAUGCACCAACCCCAAAUUCAGCCAUCAUCUUGCGGCUCACGGUAUUGUCUAGACCUAUGUAAAGUGAAGGUGUGGUCUUUUGCAUGCCAAGACUGUUAAAAUGUAUCCACAGGGUUGUUUAGUCGUUUGGAGUCUAUGAACCAUUACCAUUGCUUAGGUUAUGCCGUGAAUUUUAAUAUAACUUGUGUGUGAAGCUUAAUCACUUUGAUGCUCCUUCAAUAAAGUAUGUGGUUUGAA